RNA transcript from Felis catus (domestic cat), 7856 nucleotides. It is a transcript of the gene named transmembrane protein 260, with no coding region annotated. NCBI's taxonomy places the organism in Eukaryota, Metazoa, Chordata, Mammalia, Carnivora, Felidae. The record is from RefSeq and is a predicted model, not a curated record. The transcript has 20 exons.
CUCCGGUCGGUCCGGGGCCCGACCCGGAAGCCGCCGCGCGGGCUGCGCUCGCCUCUCGCCGGGGAAACUCCGGGCCACCCGAGUCCUUGGGCCCGCCGCGGCCUCCUUCCCCGGGCCCCACGGGCCCAUGGGUCUCCAUGACGACGGCAGGGGCCCGGCCGGGGGGCGGGCAGCCCGGGUGGGGCCGCGGCGCUCCGGGGGCCUCCGCGGCGGCCUGGCCGUGUUCGCCGCCGUGGCCGCCGUGUUCACCCUCACGCUGCCCCCCUCGGUGCCGGGGGGAGACUCGGGGGAACUGAUCACAGCCGCACAUGAGCUUGGAGUUGCCCAUCCUCCUGGCUAUCCUUUGUUCACUCUGGUGGCUAAACUGGCAAUUAUACUAUUUCCUUUCGGUUCAGUUGCCUACCGAGUCAAUCUUCUGUGUGGCUUAUUUGGAGCAGUAGCUGCAGCAUUACUUUUUUUCACCGUUUUCAGGCUUUCUGGCUCCCAUGCUGGAGGAAUCCUUGCUGCGGGGGUGUUUUCAUUCUCUCGUCUAACAUGGCACUGGUCCAUUGCAGCAGAGGUUUUCAGCUUAAACAAUCUGUUUGUGGGGCUGCUUAUGGCUCUUACUGUACAUUUUGAGGAGGCAGCAACCGCCAAAGAAAGAUCAAAGAUAGCUAAAAUUGGUGCUUUCUGCUGUGGCCUUAGCUUAUGUAAUCAGCACACAAUAGUACUCUAUAUUUUGUGCAUAAUUCCAUGGAUUCUCUUCCGACUUUUCAAAGAGAAGGAACUCUCCCUGGGCUCUUUGUUGAAGCUGAGUCUGUGCUUCGGUGCUGGCUUGUUGCCCUAUGUCUACCUUCCUGUCUCGUCCUACCUCAAUCAAGCCCGUUGGACCUGGGGAGACCAGACAACAUUGCUAGGAUUUUUGACGCAUUUUCUCAGGGAAGAAUAUGGAACAUUCAGUCUGGCCAAAUCUGAAAUAGGAUCCAGUAUGUCUGAAAUUUUGCUUUCUCAAGUAACAAGUAUGAGGACCCAACUCUCAUUCAACAUUCAAGCCCUCGCAGUUUGGGCAAAUAUAUCUUUAGCAAGAAAGGACAGACAGAACCCAUCAUCAGUAUGGCUUUUUACUGGAAUGUUUUGCAUUUAUUCAUUGUUCUUCGCUUGGAGGGCGAAUUUAGAUAUUUCAAAACCACUUUUCAUGGGUGUGGUAGAAAGAUUCUGGAUGCAGAGCAACGCUGUGGUGGCCGUGCUCGCUGGCGUCGGCUUGGCCGCGCUAGUUUCUGAGAGCAACCGAGUGCUGAACACCAGUGGGCUUCAGUGUCUGGAGUGGCUUUCAGCAACGCUUUUUAUAAUGUACCAAAUAUAUUCUAAUUUCAGCAUUUGUGACCAAAGGACCAACUAUGUUAUUGAUAAAUUUGCAAAGAACCUUCUAGCCUCUAUGCCUCAUGAUGCAAUUAUCUUACUCAGAGGAGAUUUGCCAGGGAAUUCUCUCCGUUACAUGCAUUAUUGCGAGGGACUGAGGCCAGAUAUUUCACUAGUGGAUCAGGAAAUGAUGACUUAUGAGUGGUAUUUACCCAAGAUGGCAAAGCACUUACCAGGUGUCAGCUUUCCUGGAAACCGGUGGAAUCCUGUGGAAGGAAUGUUACCUAGUGGAAUGGUCACAUUUAAUCUUUAUCAUUUUCUUGAAAUAAAUAAACAGAAGAAAACAUUUGUUUGCAUAGGAAUUCAUGAAGGUGACCCAACCUGGAAAAAGAACUAUUCACUUUGGCCUUGGGGUUCUUGUGACAAAUUAGUUCCUUCGGAGAUUGUAUUCAACCCUGAGGAAUGGAUUAAACUCACAAGAAAUAUCUAUAACUGGACCGAAGAAUAUGGAAGGUUUGACCCAUCUUCUUGGGAAUCUGUGGCCAACGAAGAGAUGUGGCAAGCAAGGAUGAAAACCCCGUUCUUCAUCUUUAACCUGGCAGAAACAGCAAACGUCCCUCCAAAUGUGAAGGCUCAACUCUACACUCACGCAUAUAACCACCCACUUGUCACACAACUAACGUGGGGUUGACCCGUUAUGGCUGGGCGCUUAGUGGAAACCUGGCAGUCUUGCCCCCGAGGAGUUUCCAGCUGAGGACUAGAAACAGGGUGGCUCUGAGACACAGGGAAUGUGCCCUGUCAUGGGCAUGAGGAGACUGGGAUUCUGGUCCCGACUCCUUCAUCAUAGCAUGAGAGCUGUGAAUUCUGUUCAACACUAUCCUUGGGGCUAAUGCGCACAUCAGAUACAGUGCAGGUAAAAGCGUCUUUAAAAAGAGAUAAUCCCUUGUUUUCAAGACGUGGACACUACUGUUGGGAGAGGUGAAACCAAUGAUUCUGUGGCAGAGCAAGGACAAGGGUCCGUGAUCCCUCUGUCCAAUGCUCUUUCCACCUACUCCUCUUCGAAGGAUGCCUCUACCAGCACCCCAGGUCCUCAGAAACUUUUUGAUGCCAUCGAUAAGGAGGUGACUGACUCAUUCCUCACGCAUCAGUAAAGGUGAUCGCACACUUUUCUGGAAGCCUGAAGCCAUGCCUCCAAACUCGAUUCUUCCGGAUUGUAGGAAACACACUCCGUGGCUGAUUCGUCCUCCGCUCCUCUGGCUUUGCAUCCAUCAGUCUUUCUUCACAAGGCUUCACUUUUCAGAACCAGGUUCCCGGAGGUUAUAGAUUCGCAACAAAGAAAGCAGAACUGAGCAUUCUCGCAGAGUUCCUGAUGUUAUUUGAACUAACAACGACAGCCACAGAAACCCUACCGUUUGUCCAAAGUAGCAUCCAAAUGACAGAGACUAACAGAAUAUUGAUUCUGCUUCACAAGAAGGAGGUGAAAGGCACCAAAAGCAGAAGUGUUUGCUAGUGUUCAUUGCUUGCCACUUACCGUGGCAAAUAUUGGACGAUAGAAAACUUGCCUCCACUCUCUGCACCUCAGUUAAUUCAUCUGUGAAGUGGACGUAACAGUAGCAUCUAUUGCAAGAGGUUGUUAAAAAGCAAACAAGACAGAACAGAGAACCGAGAAACAGACUCACGCAGAUACGCCCAAUGGAAUUUUGACAUGGUUGCGGAAGAAACUGAACAGAGGAAAAUGGCUUUUUCAAGUUUCCGGUGCUGAAGCGAUUGGACAUCCUUUGGGUGUGGGGCCCCGGGCGGUGGGGGAAGACCUCCCUUUGUCUUGCAUCAUAUACAAAAAUGCACUCAAAACAGAUUGUGGCCUUAAGUGGAAAAUGGAAAGCUAUAAAACCUUUAGAAACAAACAUAAGGAAAAAAAGCUUGAGGAUCUAGGGCUAGCAAGUUCUUACAGCUGACACCAAAAGCAUGACCCAUAGAAGGAAAAAUAGAUAAAUUGGACUUUAUCAACAUUGAAAAGUUUGCUCUGCAAAAGCAAAACAAAAAAGCCCGUGAACACAAUGAAAAACAAAGCUACAGACUGGGAAAAAAUAUCUCAAGGUGUGUACUAAUAAAGACUAGUAAUCUACAAUAUAUAAAACUCAAAACUCAAGAGUAAAAAAAAAAUCCAAUGGAAAAUGAGCAAAAGCUGUGAAGAGACAUUUCAUCCCAAAGUAGGUAGAAACUGUAAGAAGCACAUGAAAAUAUGUUCAACCUCAUUAGGGAAAUGUAAAAUAAAACUACAAUGAAACAUGGGUACACACCUAGCAGAAAGACUAACAUAAAAAAUAGUGACAAACCCAAUGUGGGUGAGGACGUGGAAAAACUAGAUCGCUCGUGCAUUCGUCGUGGGAACGUAAAACAGUCUGGCAAUUGCUUAAGAAAUUAAACGUGCAACAAUCAUACAACCCAAUAAUUACUCCUGGGCAUUUAUCCCAGAGAAAUGAAGACUGACAUUCACACACAAACCUGUACAGGAAUGUUUACAGAAGCUUUAUUUCUAACAGCCAAAAGGAAACCACCCAGAUAUCCUUUACCAGGUGAGUGGGUAAAAAAAAUGGCACAUCCAUACCACGGGAUGGUCCUCAGCACUAAAGGAGCAUGAACUACUGACACGUGAAACGAUCUGGAUGAAUCUCCAUAAAAUUAUGCUGAGUGGGGGGAAAAAAACCCACAAAAGAUUCUGUGCUGCAUAAUUCCAUUCAUAUUAAUGACAAAUGUAUAGAAAUGGAGAACAGACUAGUGGCUGCUAGGGGUUACGGAGAAGAGGGGGUGAGAGGGAAGUAGGUGUGUCUAUAGAAGGACAACACGAGGGACCCAGGGGUGAUGGAAAUACUGUGUAUCUUGACCGUAUCACUGUCAGUAUCCUGGUUCUGACAUUGCUCUUGUAAGAUAUGACUGCUGGGAGAAACUGGAUAAAGGAUGCCCAGGCUCUCUCUUAUUUCAGACAUUGACGUGUGAAUCUACAAUCAUCUCAAACUAAAAAGUUUCAUUGAAAUAAUCAAAUGAGUUAAUAUCCAUGACAGACGCAUAGUAAGUCUUUAGUACCUCUUAGCUGUUACUAAUUGCACUUUCCUGCAGUCACUUGGUACAACUUCCGUUUUGUCCAUCUGUCCCUUCUGAAAUACCAUGCAGCAAUGGUACAGCGGUGACACAGUGGCAGCUGGAGUCACCCUCAACUUCUCACCCCAACUCUGAUAGUCAUGAAUCAGCCGUGUGACAUUAGGCGAGAUAAAAAUCUUUCUCCUGCCUUCUUUUCUUCAGAAAUGAGGAUACUAAAUCCCCCUCUACCCCUCAUCACGGGGCGUUUAGGUUUGUUUGCUUGUUUAAGAAUCAAAUAGAUGAUGUACAGGGAGGGAGGAAGCUUUGAAAACUGUUAAGUGCUACCAAAAUGCUACGCAUUGCACAUACGCUUAUUAAAUACCUCGUACUCCUCUACUACCGCUAUUACUAAUAAAUAUGACCAUUUACUCGCUUGAAACCCUAGUUGGAAUUUGGCAUGCAAAUUUCCUGAGUGUUGCUCAUUUGCAUUGGAAAAAAGGAAAGAGGUGGGAGGCCUUUUGAAGCCUUUUGAAAAUUGAGCUCAGGGGGGGAUGAAUUCUUAUCACUGGGCCCAAGGUAUAAUUGAUUUUCUACACAAUGGCUCACAGGUGCUACAUUUAACACCCUGAGUAGUAGGAGGAAGGAAAUGUAUCCCAAGGUGCAGCUUUAACUUAAAAUAUCUCCAGAGUCAGCACCUCCACUCGGAAAGGCUGAGGAGCCUGGGGGCUGGGGUACCCCACCUUUCCUCCAGUUGUCUGAAUGCGCUGAGGGAGACACCUGCUCCUCACUUACUUCUCACCCCACUCAGAGAAUUGGGCCUCAGGUUUCUUAUUUUCAGUGGCCAGAUGCCAACAGCCCCUCUUUUCAGGCCUGGCUCACGAGGUUAGGGAAGAACACAGGGCAAGCCCACCAUGAAAUACAUAUUAAUAUUAUAACAACCCUUUCAGAAUUCACUGUUGCUAUGUCAACAAAGCAGCUGGGGAAAUUGGGUCUUUGGGAAAUUGGGAAAUGAGGUCGGCUUUGGCAACAUGGCAAAUGUUUCCUUCUCUCAGAACAAUUGGUCUGUGACACCAGCCAGCCUUUUUCUACCUACCCUUUCUCCUGCUUAUUUGUGGGAAACUGAGAAGCAAAACAGUGGUCAUUAAGAUUUGGGGUUAGGGAGCUUCUGCGUCAUGGAAAAAGUGACAGAAAUAAAAAUUAUUUCCCUCUCCCCCUCGUCGCCUGUUUAUGUCAGUUUCUCGGUCCCAACUUGGACGCCACCGGACUGAACGUGGAUGCUGUACCCAGCUCUGUGACUUUAGAUGAAUUACUGACCUCAUCGCAGUCUCAAUUACCUCGUCUUAUGAAACAAAGGUAUAUUCGUAAGACCCGCCACACAAUUUGUGGGGCUCAAUACAAGGUAAAAAUGCACGGCCCCCUGUUCAAAAAUUAAGGAUUUCAAGAUGGCGACAGCAGAACAUUAAACCAAGCACAGUGCCUUUGUAAGGACAGGCCUCGUGUGAAGGCCCAGGUCUCAGACCCAUGAAGCUGGCCCUAUGUAUCAGUUAUGACUCCAGGCUGACAAAUGAGAGAAGUCAAGUCACACUCAUUCCUCAGAAAGAUAACUUAACAGAUGGUUACCGUGGUGUCGUGGAAGCCAAAGGAGAGUUGAACAAAUGAGGGGCCAUCCCCCAGCCUGGUGGAAAAGCAGAGCCCAGGCACCUCCUGAGUUUUCUGUGCCACAGCUUCAGCCACCAGAGAGACUCGCUGACUUGCUCCCGUGGUCUCCUGGAUUAAGUGAGGUGCCCACUGUAGACCAAUCAACCCUGAAUGGGGGCCCCGGUAAAUUUCAGAGUAGAAAUUUACCAGAGUAGAGGGCCAGCAGGUAAUCCCACAGCUGCCCUUGGUGUUAUGUAAGAACAAAGAUAGCAGAUUUCACCUCACUGCUGCCGCAGGUCUAUUGGUUAGCAGCUGCCUAGACAGCGGGGUAGACAAGGUGCCUGGGGCCACACUGGAGUGUCUCGAAGGCAGGCCAUCAUGCUGUCUCCCAUGAUGCCGUCUCCCAUGAUGAUGAUGCUGGGCUGGAGGGUCGGCCCAGGUGCAUGCACGUGCCAACUGUGGACAAGAUUCCGUGAGCUCAAAGUUUUCUUACAGCCCUCACAUUCUCGAGUAUUUCCUCUCUGCUCCUGCUCAUCCCCAAAAUCAACUUUCAGGAAGCCUUCAUGUGUAGGGAUAAUUUAUUUCAUUCAAUAGAUGUCGGUGAAAUGUGAUUAAAUCUUUUAAAAUUAAAUGGAUGUAUCUGGAAUACACGAGAGAAAUGCUCUAGCUUAAGCAAUUCUGAAGUGAAUCCUUUGGUAAAGCAGACUCUUAUUUAAAUUGAAUAGCCACUUAGCUCCUUAGCAAAUCUGAAUUUUUAUGUAGAGUGCUUUGCUUAAGAUAGAGAGACUGAGGAUCUGGCUUGGAAAGACAACCACUGAGAAGGUGAUGGGUCUGCAGCUUGCAGAAAAAGGUAUAACAGCCCUCAGUCUAUCCCACUCCCACCUAGAUGUCAGUGGAGAAUUUCCCUUCAUCUGGACCUUUUGGGUGGCUUGUCCCCUUUAAGGAUGCCUGAGUGUUUAUUCUAGCAUGAGUCCACCUGUAGGGUAGGGGUUUUUGUUGUUAUUUUUUUGGUAGGAUUGUUACGGAAACUGGUCUGGAUCACCCGGCCGAAGAACCAAGCGGCACUCGGAGAUCUUGGAAGGCAGGAGGUUUAUUUUACCCUGGCAGGCUCAGAGGAGAUCAUUCUCCGGAGGUCUGAGCCCAGAGCAUCAACAGAGGGGACAAUUUAUAGUCUGUUACUCCUGCAUCCCUCAAGAGUAGUAAUUGGGCGCCUGAGGCAAGCAGGGUGGGAAGAACCGGAAGGGAGGUCUUCAGGCAGGGACUGAAAUUCCCUUAUCAGUCCCGUCUGCCAUCAUAUAACGGAUUUUUCCCUAACAGGACAAGGAGGGGACAAAUCAGAGUGACAGAGCUUUAGACCAGUGCUGUCCACUGUGGUAGCCACCAGCCACCUGUAGCUGUUGAGCACUCGAGACGAGGCAGGACUGAACCAGACUGAGUCAGGAUGGUCUGUAUGUGUCUACACACUGGAUUUUGAAGACACCAUAUGAAAAAAGAACGUAAAAUAUCUCAAUUUUAUUAUUUAGUGAUUACAUGUUGAAAUGAUCACUUCUUCAUAUACCAGGGCAAAUAAAUCGUAUUCUACUUUUUUUAAGUUUUGUUUAUUUAUUUUGGGGAAGGAGGGACACAGAGAGAAGGAGGGAGAGAGAAGCCCAAGCAGGCUCUGCCCUGACAGCGUGGAGCCCAACUUGGGGCUCGAGCUCACCAGCCGUGAGAUCAUGACCUGAGCCAAAAACAAGAGUUGGACGCUUAACCAACUGAGUCACCCAGGGACCUCAAUAAAACGUAUUAUUGAUUUAACCUGU